RNAcentral lists this ribosomal RNA (274 nucleotides) under uncultured bacterium. RNAcentral describes it as "partial 16S ribosomal RNA". It matches the Rfam family "Bacterial small subunit ribosomal RNA", at positions 523 to 796 of the family's 1533-position model. The record is from RNAcentral.
AUACGGAGGGUGCAAGCGUUAAUCGGAAUUACUGGGCGUAAAGCGUACGUAGGCGGUUAUUUAAGUCAGAUGUGAAAGCCCCGGGCUUAACUUGGGAACUGCAUUUGAAACUGGGUAACUAGAGUUUAGUAGAGGGGAGUGGAAUUUCAGGUGUAGCGGUGAAAUGCGUAGAGAUCUGAAGGAACACCAGUGGCGAAGGCGACUCCCUGGCUUAAAACUGACGCUGAGGUACGAAAGCGUGGGUAGCAAACAGGAUUAGAAACCCGUGUAGUCC